This 465-nucleotide ribosomal RNA is filed under the name uncultured Klebsiella sp. RNAcentral's name for it is "bacterial SSU rRNA". It matches the Rfam family "Bacterial small subunit ribosomal RNA", at positions 338 to 795 of the family's 1533-position model. Lineage: Bacteria; Pseudomonadati; Pseudomonadota; Gammaproteobacteria; Enterobacterales; Enterobacteriaceae. The record is from RNAcentral.
CCUACGGGAGGCUGCAGUGGGGAAUAUUGCACAAUGGGCGCAAGCCUGAUGCAGCCAUGCCGCGUGUGUGAAGAAGGCCUUCGGGUUGUAAAGCACUUUCAGCGGGGAGGAAGGCGGUGAGGUUAAUAACCUCAUCGAUUGACGUUACCCGCAGAAGAAGCACCGGCUAACUCCGUGCCAGCAGCCGCGGUAAUACGGAGGGUGCAAGCGUUAAUCGGAAUUACUGGGCGUAAAGCGCACGCAGGCGGUCUGUCAAGUCGGAUGUGAAAUCCCCGGGCUCAACCUGGGAACUGCAUUCGAAACUGGCAGGCUAGAGUCUUGUAGAGGGGGGUAGAAUUCCAGGUGUAGCGGUAAAAUGCGUAGAGAUCUGGAGGAAUACCGGUGGCGAAGGCGGCCCCCUGGACAAAGACUGACGCUCAGGUGCGAAAGCGUGGGGAGCAAACAGGAUUAGAUACCCCGGUAGUC